This is a non-coding RNA of Notechis scutatus (mainland tiger snake), 1849 nucleotides long. NCBI's taxonomy places the organism in Eukaryota, Metazoa, Chordata, Lepidosauria, Squamata, Elapidae. The record is from RefSeq and is a predicted model, not a curated record.
GGUACGGUAGUAAAAAAAAAUUGAAUCCCACCACUGGAAGGGAGGAAGGAAUAGACUUUGACAUGGAUUUGAGGGGAAGGAAUUUUAUCCAAUUACAAAUUUACAUAUUGUUUUCCAGUAGUGGAGGGAAGUUAUCCAAAGCUGAAUUAUGCAUUUCUUCUACUUUUAGCAGGCAUGACACAAACCAUAGGGGAGAGGAACCCCCUGAGCUAGUUUUCUAGGCCAGGUCUAUGACAUCUCGGGUCUGCCAUCUUGCCAGUGCCAUCUCAGAGUGGGACAGCACCUUGGGAAAAACUUGCUUUGCGACAACUUGCCGCGCCACUGUGGCACUUCCCUUCGCAGAAGGUAGCUGUCAGCCAUGGCGUUGGAAUGGGCCACAUCUUCGGAUCCAGGUCCGGCCUCCCAUGGGUCUGGCCGAUCAGUCAGUUCAGAGUGUGUCUGCUUGGCACAGCUAUCUACAGUUGCUGCCUGCAUGCGAAAGACACACCCUGCCUGCCAGAGAGGCCCUUUGCCUGAGCCACGUUUGGCUAUUUUUUUCCCCCGUGGGCUUUUGCAGGAGGGCGGCAUCCAUGCCAGUCUCAUCCACGCAGACUUCUCCUUCAGUGUGCUGCACUGGACUGUGACUGUUUCCAGGGGAGAGGAGCCAAGCAGGGGCAGCUUCAGUUUUCUGGCAACUGUAAAUGACUGCCACUUAGGCCAAUUUUUAUGGAGGGGGGUUUGCCCUCUGAAGGCUUCCUCGCCUCACUUUCCAGCAUCUCAUCCCCACCCCCCCCAACAGACAGCUGUGCGUAGUGGACACUCUCUAACCUGACCAGACAGCUGCACCCACGGGAUGCCACAUUCAGAGAUGUGCUGUGGUUGAUGAUCACCUCCCGCGAAGGGAGAUGCUAUGAGAAGAAUAGCAAAUUGUCCCAGGGCGAAUUUCCCAUGGCAAUUUUAUCAUGUUGAGGUGGCUGUGACAAGAUGGUGGCAAGGAGUUGUCCCAUUUCAUUCCAGGCCUGCCUGCUCCAUUUGAAGAUGAAGACAUUUGUAACUUCCAUUUUCCUUCUUGCAUAAUACAGUCUAAGGGAUCAGAGGGGGACAGUUUCCAUCCUAGAGUCAGGCAAGCAUUCCAGAGGCUGGGAUUACCAGCCUGGGCUUUGUCCUUCAAUCAAGCUACUUUUGCAGGAGCUAUGAUCAUCUUCCUCGGCGCUUUUCCCUCUAUAAUGCCCCAGUUUCAGCUUAACGUUUGUGGAAUGCCUGAAUUGAUAGAUGUAUGCCGUGUGGUGCCAUUCUUCAUGGCAUCUCAACCAAAUUUGUGAGGAUCUGAGGAUAAGAGUGAAUGGACCUCUGGAAUGAAGACCUGCUGAUUUCUCUUCCAUUAAAGAUGGGAUUGAUCCUCUUAACCAUGGAGUUCUGCUAUUGGAUUUAGGCAAAUAAUCAUUAUUUUCUGUGUCUGAUCCUCUCACUUCUUCUCUCCUAGUUCCUUAUUAUGCUUUCCAGACCAUGGCCUAAUAUGUUUUUGCUAUAGAAAUGAUCUUACCAAGAAUCAGUGAUUUUCACUGACUUUCCUACCUCUUAUAAUUUAUAGGUUUCACUCCUGAAAUCUUCCUGUGGCUUCUAUGUAAGGCACUUUGUAAAGUGCUGUUCAGUUUCUAUCCUACAAAAUAGGAUAGAAAUUUCUUAUUGCUUCAGUCUGAUAUAUUCUGGGACUAAUGACCCUAUCAUUUUGAAGCAGGCUAUUUGUUUUUGUUUUUUCCUUAAUUCUGUAGGAAUUUAAAUAAAUCCGGCAUCUACGGCUGAAGGCAAUUCUGUUUCAUCAGUUGAAGUUGUGGCUUCCUUUACUUCCUCUCAUCUGGUAUAGGAGACU